UGGGGAAUAUUGGACAAUGGGCGAAAGCCUGAUCCAGCAAUGCCGCGUGAGUGAUGAAGGCCUUAGGGUUGUAAAGCUCUUUUACCCGGGAUGAUAAUGACAGUACCGGGAGAAUAAGCUCCGGCUAACUCCGUGCCAGCAGCCGCGGUAAUACGGAGGGAGCUAGCGUUGUUCGGAAUUACUGGGCGUAAAGCGCACGUAGGCGGCGAUUCAAGUCAGAGGUGAAAGCCCGGGGCUCAACCCUGGAACUGCCUCUCAUACUGGCGAUCUCGAGUCCGGAAGAGGUGAGUGGAAUUCCGAGUGUAGAGGUGAAAUUCGUAGAUAUUCGGAGGAACACCAGUGGCGAAGGCGGCUCACUGGUCCGGUACUGACGCUGAGGUGCGAAAGCGUGGGGAGCAAA
This 400-nucleotide ribosomal RNA is filed under the name uncultured bacterium. Its description in RNAcentral is "bacterial SSU rRNA". It matches the Rfam family "Bacterial small subunit ribosomal RNA", at positions 355 to 772 of the family's 1533-position model. The record is from RNAcentral.